AUUGUUAUCAAAUUCACUUUUAACUAAAAAUGAUAACAAAAACACACUAACUAAAAAUAAUGAAACCCUAAAAGCUAAGGCGCCGUCGUUCAUCCAUCUUCUCGAACCUAGCCUUGGCGUCGUUCAUCCAUCUUCAGCGUUCAACUUCAUCUUCUCGAACCCAGCCUCUCUCUGUCGCGGUUUUGCUGUCCUUCUCGCCGUUCUGCUGUCCUUCUGUGUCGUGGUUCAGCGUUCGCCAUUUCUCUUACUGUCCUUCUUGCCGUUCUGGUCGUCGUGCUGCUCGCCUCUCUCUGUCGCAGUUCUGCUCACCUCUCUCUGUCGCGGUUCUGCUCGCUUCUCUGUCGUGGUUCUGCUCGCCGUGCUGCUCGAAGGUUAGUGCUCAGUUGUGCUCCAUCUUCGUUUUUUUAGAAAUCAAUCAAGAAAAUUGGAUGCCUUUGGGUAUAAUCAAUCAAUCAAGACCCACCGCCUUGACUUCAGUUCUCCGAUCAGCCUCCGCGCUCAUGCCAGAGCCCUCGCUCCUCUUCUCCAACGAUUCCAACGCAGCUUGGCUUCCAUGGCCAGUGAAAAUCCAUUCAAGGGAAACCUGACAAGUCUCCUCAAGCCUGGAGGUGGCGAGUUUGGAAAAUUCUAUAGCCUUCCUUCUCUCAAAGAUCCAAGAGCUGACAAGUUGCCGUAUUCUAUCAGAAUUCUCCUUGAAUCUGCCAUUCGUAAUUGUGACAAUUUCCAAGUCAAGAAAGAGGAUGUUGAGAAGAUUAUUGACUGAGAAAACACUUCUCCAAAGCAAGUUGAAAUUCCUUUCAAGCCUGCGUGGGUCCUCUUGCAGGAUUUUACUGGAGUCCCAGCUGUUGUUGACCUAGCUUGCAUGUGUGAUGCAUUGAAUAAGCUUGGCAGUGAUUCUAAUAAGAUUAAUCCUCUGGUUAGCCCAGGUUCUUUACUUCAAGCCCCUUUGGAUGAUGAUGCUAGUAGAGGCACGUGAGUAUGGCUGCUUAGACACAAUGAUUGAUUAAACAGCUACCAUACAAGCUGUUUAAGUGUGAAACCAAAGAAACUCUAGACUUAAUCCAGUUUAUUGUUCCUAUCUUUUAAACAACCUUUGCAGGGUGACAAAGCAUCUUUGCGACACACAGAGAUGCCCAAUAGAUUUGAUAACUCCACCUGAUGAUUGUCAUGUCAAUUAUACACUAUCCUUCUCUCUUCAAGUUGCACUGAAGGUAUUGGAAAGGAAAACUUUUUGAAUGGAGCUGGUGGUGGUGCUGGACAUGGUGGAAGAGGAGGGUCUGGAUAUUUCAAUGGGAGAGUGAGCAUUGGUGGUGAUGAGUAUGGAAAUGCUAUUUUUCCGUGUAGAGGUGGAAUGAUUGGUAAAUAGUUUUGAAUACC
This is a non-coding RNA of Arachis ipaensis, 1377 nucleotides long. The record is from RefSeq and is a predicted model, not a curated record. NCBI's taxonomy places the organism in Eukaryota, Viridiplantae, Streptophyta, Magnoliopsida, Fabales, Fabaceae.